RNAcentral lists this ribosomal RNA (433 nucleotides) under uncultured bacterium. RNAcentral describes it as "partial 16S ribosomal RNA". It matches the Rfam family "Bacterial small subunit ribosomal RNA", at positions 29 to 507 of the family's 1533-position model. The record is from RNAcentral.
AACGAACGCUGGCGGCAUGCCUAACACAUGCAAGUCGAACGAGACCUUCGGGUCUAGUGGCGCACGGGUGCGUAACGCGUGGGAACCUGCCUUUAGGUUCGGAAUAACUCAGAGAAAUUUGAGCUAAUACCGGAUGAUGUCUUCGGACCAAAGAUUUAUCGCCUUUAGAUGGGCCCGCGUUGGAUUAGCUAGUUGGUGGGGUAAAGGCCUACCAAGGCGACGAUCCAUAGCUGGUCUGAGAGGAUGAUCAGCCACACUGGGACUGAGACACGGCCCAGACUCCUACGGGAGGCAGCAGUGGGGAAUAUUGGACAGUGGGCGAAAGCCUGAUCCAGCAAUGCCGCGUGAGUGAUGAAGGCCUUAGGGUUGUAAAGCUCUUUUACCCGAGAUGAUAAUGACAGUAUCGGGAGAAUAAGCUCCGGCUAACUCCGUG